ACUAAGCGUACACGGUGGAUGCCCUGGCAGUCAGAGGCGAUGAAGGACGUGCUAAUCUGCGAUAAGCGUCGGUAAGGUGAUAUGAACCGUUAUAACCGGCGAUUUCCGAAUGGGGAAACCCAGUGUGUUUCGACACACUAUCAUUAACUGAAUCCAUAGGUUAAUGAGGCGAACCGGGGGAACUGAAACAUCUAAGUACCCCGAGGAAAAGAAAUCAACCGAGAUUCCCCCAGUAGCGGCGAGCGAACGGGGAGCAGCCCAGAGCCUGAAUCAGUGUGUGUGUUAGUGGAAGCGUCUGGAAAGGCGCGCGAUACAGGGUGACAGCCCCGUACACAAAAAUGCACAUGCUGUGAGCUCGAUGAGUAGGGCGGGACACGUGGUAUCCUGUCUGAAUAUGGGGGGACCAUCCUCCAAGGCUAAAUACUCCUGACUGACCGAUAGUGAACCAGUACCGUGAGGGAAAGGCGAAAAGAACCCCGGCGAGGGGAGUGAAAAAGAACCUGAAACCGUGUACGUACAAGCAGUGGGAGCACGCUUAGGCGUGUGACUGCGUACCUUUUGUAUAAUGGGUCAGCGACUUAUAUUCUGUAGCAAGGUUAACCGAAUAGGGGAGCCGAAGGGAAACCGAGUCUUAACUGGGCGUUAAGUUGCAGGGUAUAGACCCGAAACCCGGUGAUCUAGCCAUGGGCAGGUUGAAGGUUGGGUAACACUAACUGGAGGACCGAACCGACUAAUGUUGAAAAAUUAGCGGAUGACUUGUGGCUGGGGGUGAAAGGCCAAUCAAACCGGGAGAUAGCUGGUUCUCCCCGAAAGCUAUUUAGGUAGCGCCUCGUGAAUUCAUCUCCGGGGGUAGAGCACUGUUUCGGCAAGGGGGUCAUCCCGACUUACCAACCCGAUGCAAACUGCGAAUACCGGAGAAUGUUAUCACGGGAGACACACGGCGGGUGCUAACGUCCGUCGUGAAGAGGGAAACAACCCAGACCGCCAGCUAAGGUCCCAAAGUCAUGGUUAAGUGGGAAACGAUGUGGGAAGGCCCAGACAGCCAGGAUGUUGGCUUAGAAGCAGCCAUCAUUUAAAGAAAGCGUAAUAGCUCACUGGUCGAGUCGGCCUGCGCGGAAGAUGUAACGGGGCUAAACCAUGCACCGAAGCUGCGGCAGCGACNNNGAAGGUGUGCUGUGAGGCAUGCUGGAGGUAUCAGAAGUGCGAAUGCUGACAUAAGUAACGAUAAAGCGGGUGAAAAGCCCGCUCGCCGGAAGACCAAGGGUUCCUGUCCAACGUUAAUCGGGGCAGGGUGAGUCGACCCCUAAGGCGAGGCCGAAAGGCGUAGUCGAUGGGAAACAGGUUAAUAUUCCUGUACUUGGUGUUACUGCGAAGGGGGGACGGAGAAGGCUAUGUUGGCCGGGCGACGGUUGUCCCGGUUUAAGCGUGUAGGCUGGUUUUCCAGGCAAAUCCGGAAAAUCAAGGCUGAGGCGUGAUGACGAGGCACUACGGUGCUGAAGCAACAAAUGCCCUGCUUCCAGGAAAAGCCUCUAAGCAUCAGGUAACAUCAAAUCGUACCCCAAACCGACACAGGUGGUCAGGUAGAGAAUACCAAGGCGCUUGAGAGAACUCGGGUGAAGGAACUAGGCAAAAUGGUGCCGUAACUUCGGGAGAAGGCACGCUGAUAUGUAGGUGAAGUCCCUCGCGGAUGGAGCUGAAAUCAGUCGAAGAUACCAGCUGGCUGCAACUGUUUAUUAAAAACACAGCACUGUGCAAACACGAAAGUGGACGUAUACGGUGUGACGCCUGCCCGGUGCCGGAAGGUUAAUUGAUGGGGUUAGCNNNNNNNNNGAAGUGUGGACGCCAGUCUGCAUGGAGCCGACCUUGAAAUACCACCCUUUAAUGUUUGAUGUUCUAACGUUGACCCGUAAUCCGGGUUGCGGACAGUGUCUGGUGGGUAGUUUGACUGGGGCGGUCUCCUCCUAAAGAGUAACGGAGGAGCACGAAGGUUGGCUAAUCCUGGUCGGACAUCAGGAGGUUAGUGCAAUGGCAUAAGCCAGCUUGACUGCGAGCGUGACGGCGCGAGCAGGUGCGAAAGCAGGUCAUAGUGAUCCGGUGGUUCUGAAUGGAAGGGCCAUCGCUCAACGGAUAAAAGGUACUCCGGGGAUAACAGGCUGAUACCGCCCAAGAGUUCAUAUCGACGGCGGUGUUUGGCACCUCGAUGUCGGCUCAUCACAUCCUGGGGCUGAAGUAGGUCCCAAGGGUAUGGCUGUUCGCCAUUUAAAGUGGUACGCGAGCUGGGUUUAGAACGUCGUGAGACAGUUCGGUCCCUAUCUGCCGUGGGCGCUGGAGAACUGAGGGGGGCUGCUCCUAGUACGAGAGGACCGGAGUGGACGCAUCACUGGUGUUCGGGUUGUCAUGCCAAUGGCACUGCCCGGUAGCUAAAUGCGGAAGAGAUAAGUGCUGAAAGCAUCUAAGCACGAAACUUGCCCCGAGAUGAGUUCUCCCUGACNGUCCUGAAGGAACGUUGAAGACGACGACGUUGAUAGGCCGGGUGUGUAAGCGCAGCGAUGCGUUGAGCUAACCGGUACUAAUGAACCGUGAGGCUUAACC
Molecule: ribosomal RNA, 2592 nt
Filed under: Escherichia coli
Lineage: Bacteria; Pseudomonadati; Pseudomonadota; Gammaproteobacteria; Enterobacterales; Enterobacteriaceae
Description: bacterial LSU rRNA
Rfam family: Bacterial large subunit ribosomal RNA
Source: RNAcentral